Molecule: ribosomal RNA, 497 nt
Filed under: uncultured bacterium
Lineage: Bacteria
Description: partial 16S ribosomal RNA
Rfam family: Bacterial small subunit ribosomal RNA
Source: RNAcentral
GAUGAACGCUGGCGGCGUGCCUAAUACAUGCAAGUCGAGCGAACAGACGAGGAGCUUGCUCCUCUGACGUUAGCGGCGGACGGGUGAGUAACACGUGGAUAACCUACCUAUAAGACUGGGAUAACUUCGGGAAACCGGAGCUAACACCGGAUAACAUGUUGAACCGCAUGGUUCAACAGUGAAAGACGGUCUUGCUGUCACUUAUAGAUGGAUCCGCGCCGGAUUAGCUAGUUGGUAAGGUAACGGCUUACCAAGGCAACGAUGCGUAGCCGACCUGAGAGGGUGAUCGGCCACACUGGAACUGAGACACGGUCCAGACUCCUACGGGAGGCAGCAGUAGGGAAUCUUCCGCAAUGGGCGAAAGCCUGACGGAGCAACGCCGCGUGAGUGAAGAAGGUCUUCGGAUCGUAAAACUCUGUUAUUAGGGAAGAACAAAUGUGUAAGUAACUAUGCACGUCUUGACGGUACCUAAUCAGAAAGCCACGGCUAACUACGUG